RNAcentral lists this ribosomal RNA (503 nucleotides) under uncultured bacterium. RNAcentral describes it as "bacterial SSU rRNA". It matches the Rfam family "Bacterial small subunit ribosomal RNA", at positions 35 to 518 of the family's 1533-position model. The record is from RNAcentral.
GGACGAACGGCUGGCGGCGUGCCUAACACAUGCAAGUCGAGCGGGGACAUACGACGGAGUCAAAGUUUCGGAUGGAGACGAAGAUGUAUGUCUAGCGGCGACGGGUGAGUAACGCGUGAGCAACCUGUCCCUUACAGGGGGAUAACACAGCGAAAGUUGUACUAAUACCGCAUGAGACCACGGGAGGACAUCCUCCAGGGGUCAAAGGAGCAAUCCGGUAAGGGGUGGGCUCGCGUCCGAUUAGAUAGUUGGUGAGGUAACGGCCCACCAAGUCGACGAUCGGUAGCCGACCUGAGAGGGUGAUCGGCCACAUUGGGACUGAGACACGGCCCAAACUCCUACGGGAGGCAGCAGUGGGGAAUAUUGGGCAAAUGGGGGAAACCCCGACCCAGCAACGCCGCGUGAGGGAAGAAGGUUUUCGGAUCGUAAACCUCUGUCCUUGGUGAAGAGGAAGAGACGGUAGCCAAGGAGGAAGCCCCGGCUAACUACGUGCCAGCCGCAGC